AGAGUUUGAUCCUGGCUCAGGACGAACGCUGGCGGCGUGCUUAACACAUGCAAGUCGAACGAAGUAGCAAUACUUAGUGGCGGACGGGUGCGUAACACGUGACUAACUUGCCCCACACUGUGGAAUAACGGAGGGAAACUUCCGCUAAUACCGCAUGUUGAGCGCGGAUGGCAUCAUCUGCGCUUGAAAGAUUUAUCGGUGUGGGAUAGGGUCGCGGCCUAUUAGCUUGUUGGUGGGGUAAUGGCCUACCAAGGCGACGAUGGGUAGCUGGUCUGAGAGGAUGAUCAGCCACACUGGGACUGAGAUACGGCCCAGACUCCUACGGGAGGCAGCAGUGAGGAAUAUUGCGCAAUGGACGAAAGUCUGACGCAGCAACGCCGCGUGAAGGAUGAAGGUGCUCUGCAUUGUAAACUUCUGUAGGGAGGGAAGAACAACCUGUUAUUGAUGGGUUUGACGGUACCUCCAAAGUAAGCACCGGCUAAUUCCGUGCCAGCAGCCGCGGUAAUACGGAAGGUGCAAGCGUUGUCCGGAUUGACUGGGUGUAAAGGGCGCGUAGGCGGAGAUGUGUGUCGGGAGUGAAAUCGUGCGGCUUAACCGUACAAUUGCUUUCGAAACUACAUCCCUUGAGUACAGAAGGGGUAGAUGGAAUACCUGGUGUAGCGGUGGAAUGCGUAGAUAUCAGGUAGAACACCGGAGGCGAAGGCGGUCUACUGGUCUGUAACUGACGCUGAGGCGCGAAAGUGUGGGGAGCAAACAGGAUUAGAUACCCUGGUAGUCCACACCGUAAACGAUGAUCACUAGUCGUCGGAGGAUUCGACCCCUUCGGUGACGUCGCUAACGCAUUAAGUGAUCCGCCUGGGGAGUACGCUCGCAAGGGUGAAACUCAAAGGAAUUGACGG
RNAcentral lists this ribosomal RNA (899 nucleotides) under uncultured bacterium. RNAcentral describes it as "bacterial SSU rRNA". It matches the Rfam family "Bacterial small subunit ribosomal RNA", at positions 8 to 916 of the family's 1533-position model. The record is from RNAcentral.